CUCCCCGAUAAAUCCGAGGCACUGCUUCGAGAUAUUAUCAAAAGGAGAGAAAUACCGACUUUCCUUCACAAGGACCAUUGAAGUUCCACAGCCUCUUCUUCUCAUCCGAUGUUCAGUUCUUCUUUCAAAAAGUGCUUCUGGAGCACUCUUAUCAGCCGCAUGACACGAUUCUUGAGAACCAGAAGCCAAAAAAGAGUUGUGAAGCAGUUGAUCAUGCUAAGAGAUUGAAGGAGGAUUUAAUGCUUUUGCUGAGAGGGUUAUCAUGUUGUCCAUGUGGAUUCUUUGUGGUUUAUGGACAUGGCGCUGGUUGCAUUACCUGAGAAUAGAGAGAAUGGCAGGCCCUGUAUUACUUUCUGUCAAUCCAUUUAAAAAUGUCCGGUUAUAUGGGGAUGAUGCAGCAUACCAUGCAAUGGUAGCAGAGCUGAAGUGGAUCAGAUCGGAUAUGACAUUAUGCAACAGAGAUGUGGGUGUGCCUGCAUUUGGAAGUACCACCACCUGACAUCACAUGAUAUCUCAUCUUCUUGUGAGAUAUUGAUUGUAGUCAGCCAACACUAGGGCAGAAAGUGAAAAAAGAA
Molecule: long non-coding RNA, 575 nt
Organism: Salvia splendens (bonfire salvia)
Lineage: Eukaryota; Viridiplantae; Streptophyta; Magnoliopsida; Lamiales; Lamiaceae
Exons: 5
Source: RefSeq, a predicted model, not a curated record